GACGAACGCUGGCGGCGUGCCUAAUACAUGCAAGUCGAACGCAGUGGGGGCGGGUGCGUAACACGUGGGUAACCUCGCAUCAGAGGGGAUAACACUUAGCUACAGGUGCUAAACCGAUACUGAUGUAUCGACCCGCGGUGCAUUAGCUAGUGGGUGAGGUAACGGCUCACCAAGGCGACGAUGCAUAGCUGACCUGAGAGGGUGACCGGCCACACUGGGACUGAGACACGGCCCAGACUCCUACGGGAGGCAGCAGUGGGGAAUCUUGCGCAAUGGACGAAAGUCUGACCGAGCAACGCCGCGUGAGUGAAGAAGGUUUUCGGAUCGUAAAGCUCUGUUGGUGGGGAAGCGGUAUUUAACCAGAAAGCCACGGCUAACUACGUGCCAGCCGCCGCGGUAAUUC
This 403-nucleotide ribosomal RNA is filed under the name uncultured bacterium. Its description in RNAcentral is "partial 16S ribosomal RNA". It matches the Rfam family "Bacterial small subunit ribosomal RNA", at positions 28 to 526 of the family's 1533-position model. The record is from RNAcentral.